Molecule: long non-coding RNA, 703 nt
Filed under: Homo sapiens (human)
Lineage: Eukaryota; Metazoa; Chordata; Mammalia; Primates; Hominidae
Description: HSALNT0335477
Source: RNAcentral
GGUCUUUUACGUCGGCCUUCGCGAGCGUCUGGGCGGGUGGUAGGAACAAUGGCGCUGUCUUCAGUGGCACAGUGGAGCAGCUCUGAAGAUGCAAAGAUACACGAAAAAACUUCCAGAACAUCUGGGAGAAUAUUUAAUGGAAAAUCGCUUGGUUAAAACCUGACACUUUUAACAGUGAACAGCGUUCUGAGUGUGGACGAGUAGCCAGUGAAGAUAAUGAAUGUCGAAUGUGACUGACUAGCAGCUUCAUUUUGAAUGAGGGUCGCUGUCUGCCCAUUGAUAGAGGCCAGAUUGUCUUGGAAGUUCCAAAGUUGCAACGAUUUCUUUAGUUGAAUCCAUGGACAUGAAACCCACAGAUAUAGAGGGUUGGCCCGGUGCAGUGGCUCACGCCUGUAAUCCCAGCACUUUGGGAGGCCAAGGCGGGUGGAUCACCUGAGGUCAGAAGCUUGAGACCAGCCUGGCCAACAUGGUAAAACCCCAUCUCUACUAAUAAUACAAAACAAUUUGCUGGGCAUGGUGGUGCACGCUUGUAAUCCAAGCUACUCCAGAGGCUGAGGCAGAAGAAUCGCUUGAAUCCGAGAGGCAAAGGUUGCAGUGAGCCCAGAUCACACCACUGCUCUCCAACCUGGGCAACAAGAGCAAAACUCCGUCAAAAAAAAAAGAUACAGGGUCAACUGUACACAUUAAACACUUCUAUCAACUA